GUGAGGAAUAUUGCACAAUGGGGGAAACCCUGAUGCAGCAACGCCGCGUGAGGGACGAAGGCCUUCGGGUUGUAAACCUCUUUUCUGGGGAACGAGACAAGGACGGUACCUCAGGAAUAAGUCUCGGCUAACUACGUGCCAGCAGCCGCGGUAAGACGUAGGAGGCGAGCGUUAUCCGGAUUUACUGGGCGUAAAGCGUGCGCAGGCGGCUUCGUCAGUCGGAUGUGAAAGCUCCUGGCUUAACUGGGAGAGGUCAUUCGAUACUACGGGGCUUGAGGUUGGGAGAGGGGUGUGGAAUUCCCGGUGUAGUGGUGGAAUGCGUAGAUAUCGGGAGGAACACCUGUGGCGAAAGCGACACCCUGGCCCACACCUGACGCUGAGGCACGAAAGCGUGGGGAGCAAACAGGAUUAGAAACCCCUGUAGUCC
This 427-nucleotide ribosomal RNA is filed under the name uncultured bacterium. RNAcentral describes it as "bacterial SSU rRNA". It matches the Rfam family "Bacterial small subunit ribosomal RNA", at positions 354 to 796 of the family's 1533-position model. The record is from RNAcentral.